Molecule: ribosomal RNA, 733 nt
Filed under: Enterobacter hormaechei subsp. xiangfangensis
Lineage: Bacteria; Pseudomonadati; Pseudomonadota; Gammaproteobacteria; Enterobacterales; Enterobacteriaceae
Description: partial 23S ribosomal RNA
Rfam family: Bacterial large subunit ribosomal RNA
Source: RNAcentral
AUGGCUGGUGUUCUAACGUAGACCCGUGAUCCGGGUUGCGGACAGUGUCUGGUGGGUAGUUUGACUGGGGCGGUCUCCUCCCAAAGAGUAACGGAGGAGCACGAAGGUUGGCUAAUCCUGGUCGGACAUCAGGAGGUUAGUGCAAUGGCAUAAGCCAGCUUGACUGCGAGCGUGACGGCGCGAGCAGGUGCGAAAGCAGGUCAUAGUGAUCCGGUGGUUCUGAAUGGAAGGGCCAUCGCUCAACGGAUAAAAGGUACUCCGGGGAUAACAGGCUGAUACCGCCCAAGAGUUCAUAUCGACGGCGGUGUUUGGCACCUCGAUGUCGGCUCAUCACAUCCUGGGGCUGAAGUAGGUCCCAAGGGUAUGGCUGUUCGCCAUUUAAAGUGGUACGCGAGCUGGGUUUAGAACGUCGUGAGACAGUUCGGUCCCUAUCUGCCGUGGGCGCUGGAGAAUUGAGGGGGGCUGCUCCUAGUACGAGAGGACCGGAGUGGACGCAUCACUGGUGUUCGGGUUGUCAUGCCAAUGGCACUGCCCGGUAGCUAAAUGCGGAAGAGAUAAGUGCUGAAAGCAUCUAAGCACGAAACUUGCCCCGAGAUGAGUUCUCCCUGAGACUUUAAGUCUCCUGAAGGAACGUUGAAGACGACGACGUUGAUAGGUCGGGUGUGUAAGCGCAGCGAUGCGUUGAGCUAACCGAUACUAAUGAACCGUGAGGCUUAACCUUACAACGCCGAAG